AAUAUUUUAUUUUAAUUUUUUAUUAAAAAUUAAAAUAAAAUAUUUUUUAAAACGUAGGUUAAAGUCCUAUAAAUCUUA
This 78-nucleotide transfer RNA is filed under the name Ulva sp. UNA00071828. RNAcentral's name for it is "tRNA-Phe". Lineage: Eukaryota; Viridiplantae; Chlorophyta; Ulvophyceae; Ulvales; Ulvaceae. The record is from RNAcentral.